Molecule: ribosomal RNA, 428 nt
Filed under: uncultured bacterium
Lineage: Bacteria
Description: bacterial SSU rRNA
Rfam family: Bacterial small subunit ribosomal RNA
Source: RNAcentral
GGGCCCGCACAAGCGGUGGAGUAUGUGGUUUAAUUCGAUGCAACGCGAAGAACCUUACCAGGGUUUGACAUCCUGCGAAUCUCUUGGAAACAGGAGAGUGCCUUCGGGAACGCAGUGACAGGUGGUGCAUGGCUGUCGUCAGCUCGUGUCGUGAGAUGUUGGGUUAAGUCCCGCAACGAGCGCAACCCACGUCUUUAGUUGCCAGCGAGUAAUGUCGGGAACUCUAAGGAUACUGCCAGUGACAAACUGGAGGAAGGCGGGGACGACGUCAAGUCAUCAUGGCCCUUACGACCAGGGCUACACACGUGCUACAAUGGUAGGUACAGAGGGCAGCUACACAGCGAUGUGAUGCGAAUCUCAAAAAGCCUAUCGUAGUCCAGAUUGGAGUCUGCAACUCGACUCCAUGAAGUAGGAAUCGCUAGUAAUCG